UCGGCCUAGUAGGUAACAAACUUCUCAGCCACGCAGAGAGCACAAACUUCCUGAUCCUUCGAUGCAGAGAAGGAAGAACACAUCAGCGAUCUCAGGAUCGCUAGGCAACCUACCUUGGUGUUUCUUCACUGGGCCAAUCAGAAACCACCAAGGUUGAGAUCAGCCAAUCGGAACUUACAAGGGGAGGCUCUCCCCAGGCUAUUGUGUUGCGAUCCCGACAAACACCACCAAAAGGAGGCAGGUUUGGGUCAACCUGACAGCUGGUCAAUCCAAUGAAGUAACCUUGGUAGGAGAGCGGAAAGGGAGCUGUGCUCCACAACCCCAUUAAACCAGCCAAUCAAAGCGUUCACUGAGCUAGCUCAAGCUGCAGAUCUACAAAGGAUUUGUUGGUCAAUCUCUGUAGCAGUGCUCACACAGGAAUGGGGAUCAGCUCUCUUUAAAAAAAAAUCUGCUUCUCCAUGACUGAAUGAAAAACUAAAAGUUAAGACCCAAAGAAGCAGAAUUGAAUGCUUAUAUACUGAGUUGGACAAAGAAUACUGAAUUGUGAAAACGUGCUGACUUGUGCUGAUUCCUUGUCUUUGGUAAUGAGUUAAUCUUCCCCCAUUGUGAAACUCCUUGGAAGGGGAUUCAGGACAGUUGAAUUUUUUUGGGAAGCUUUGCUUUUAGGGGCAGCAUAUAACAAAAGGAUAAUAUAUCAGAGUUUUUACCACUUCUGUACAGGAAGAAAGAAUAGUGGCUCGCAUCUAUAGCCACAGACACAGGUCCUUUAUUGGCCACAGCUUCUUUUAAGGCAUCUUCACUGCCAAAGGGAAGUUCAGUAUACUUUGAACAUGUGGCAGCUCGCUUUUUUGAGUCAUAUCUGCACUUUCCAUUCUGCAA
Molecule: long non-coding RNA, 879 nt
Organism: Canis lupus familiaris (dog)
Lineage: Eukaryota; Metazoa; Chordata; Mammalia; Carnivora; Canidae
Exons: 5
Source: RefSeq, a predicted model, not a curated record